Molecule: ribosomal RNA, 696 nt
Filed under: Triticum aestivum (bread wheat)
Lineage: Eukaryota; Viridiplantae; Streptophyta; Magnoliopsida; Poales; Poaceae
Description: partial small subunit ribosomal RNA
Source: RNAcentral
AUGCAGGUUCUAUUUUAUUCUUCUGAGACAUAUGAUGGUAGCAUUGAGAAUGAGAAAUCUUUGCAAAAUGCACGUAUUAUUAAGGAGUUCUGGAACGAUUACUACGCUAAGCUGUUGGAUAUUGACAAAACGAAAAAGACUUCUAAUGUUGAUAUGUAUCAGGAUGAUGUUAGAAAGUUGUUGAUUAAUGAAAAGAAGAAUCAAAAUGGUGUGUUUUCUGAUACUGAAUUAAUAGAUUUACAGAAUCAAAUUGCAAAUUGCACAAUGAAGUUUGAUGAGGAUAAUCUAUUUAAAGUAACUCCUAACAUAGUAAAGUUCUUGAUUAAUAAAGAUCAGCCUAACGCUAAGCAAUAUCUAAAGGGUUGCCUACCAAGUAGCUUACCUAUGCUUAAGAUGUUUGGUAUCUAUACGCUUGAGGCUAUCAUGAUUCAUGUACUAGGCUUGGUAUUCAACACUCUUCAGGAAUCAUCCGCAGUUAAGGCAGCUAGAUUUAUAGAUCAACUUAAUUCAACUGUACGAGAACGAGCAAGGUUUCUACAAUACAAAGCACCAGGUAGUGGUAAGGUGGAAGCAGUACUCACUAGUAAGGUAGAAUCAGUUAAGGAUGUGGUUCAGCCCAAAGGUGCUAGCAAAAAAGAGAAAAAGAAAAAAUCCAGUGUCAUUAUGAUAUCGGGAAAUACUUGCUCCAAUUCAUGA